This 730-nucleotide long non-coding RNA is filed under the name Equus asinus (donkey). Its description in RNAcentral is "lncRNA (ENSEASG00005028970.1)". Lineage: Eukaryota; Metazoa; Chordata; Mammalia; Perissodactyla; Equidae. The record is from RNAcentral.
UGAGGACUAGUUCAGCCACCUCGAGAAGGACACUGUAAGAGCAUCCUGAGGCGAUGUGGAAUAAUUGUUCACUGCCAGGAAAUGACAGCACUAGACAAUGUUUGUGUGGCAACCCAUGACAGGGGCUCCACUGAGCCAAAAUGUCAUGCUGGUCUGCAAGAACAGGAAGCAGAGCUGUACGCUCUGGCAAUUUUCAUAAAUAGACAGCAAGGCUCCCGAAACUAGUGAAUUCGUGGACUGUAUCCAUGUGUGACAUGCAAGUGGUGCUUCUGUGUUUUCAGCCAUGUCCAUGCUCAGAGGAGACGAAAGGAGGCUGUUAGUGCCGUCUUUCUGACAAAAGACAACAGUCCAGGCUGACUCCUCCCAUGCCACAAAACUGCUAUAAACUCCCAAAUUGGCAAGUGUUGGCUUAUAGAUGGCACCAACCCCAGGAACGAUGAGGUCAGCUCCUGGGAUGGAAAAACAGCUUCUGGGCCAUCAAAAUCCACUUUACCUGAAAUAUUUUUUCUUGUUGUUUGGACCCGGGCUGGUGAGCUAAGUCUUCCUUCUUGCUGCCUCUUGGAGGAGAAGGAGGGGAAUCCACAGAAGCGUCAUUUGGGCAUCUUCCUCCGAUUGUUGUUGCUUCACAUUGUUUGAAACAAGAUAUCUCUCAGCAUCUGCAACACGCCUCUUCGAUGAGUGCAUGAUACACGCUGUGGGCGUGGGACCUGCAAGCUCACAUUCCCUGAAU